This 732-nucleotide long non-coding RNA is filed under the name Heterocephalus glaber (naked mole-rat). RNAcentral's name for it is "lncRNA (ENSHGLG00100048203.1)". Lineage: Eukaryota; Metazoa; Chordata; Mammalia; Rodentia; Bathyergidae. The record is from RNAcentral.
UUUUGGAGUCCUCUAAUACUUGCUUCUUGGACCAAAGUUAAUUCCUUGAUUAGAUCAUUAUCCUUAUGAACCCUUUCUUCACAAUUGCAAUGGCAGAAGAGAUGUUGCCAGGCCUUUCAGGAAGGGAGAGACACCCAGGUGUGACCCAGUAAACUUUUUCAACUGGAAAGCGCCUUGGGCCCUGGAGCUAUGAUGUGUAAGGAAGACAGGGUUGGCUGCCGUUAUAAAGCAAACAGAUGGAAAAUGGAAAGGCCCUGCCAUAAUUCUUCAGAACAUGGUUGGUCUCCAGCCGUUACCCUGCAGGUGGGCCUCUCAUUAAAGUCAGCACAAAAAUGCUGCUGCUGGUGAGCUUCCCUGGGAUUGCAAACAUGUUUUCUGUCCAGACACAGCUCUGCCCUUUUGACAACAACAGAAAAGCAGUCUUUGGAACGAGACUUCUGCUUAUCAAGAGAGUUUCCCUGCUUCAGAUCUGUCUGGAAACAGUUUACCUCAGGGUUGGCAGGUCAGCAGGUGGAGUAGCUGCAAGGGCUUUACCUCUCCUGCAUAGUCUGGGGAGACCUCUCACCGUACCCCACAGUAUUUGGGAAUCAAUUUUAUCCUCUGAUGCCUCUGCCUUCCUUAUUACCCCCUUUAUAUCAUUAUCUGUUCCUGACCUCCCUUCAUGAAACGUGUCUACCUGCCUGGUGAAUCUCAAGUACCCAUCAAAGAGCCCAAGAAUCUUGGACCUUGCCA